Myodes glareolus (Bank vole) is the source of this 2510-nucleotide non-coding RNA. Lineage: Eukaryota; Metazoa; Chordata; Mammalia; Rodentia; Cricetidae. The record is from RefSeq and is a predicted model, not a curated record.
AGGAUCAUGAAGAGCACGAGCUGCCUGAGUUGGAUCCUCACAUCCACAGAGAAGAAUAGAAUUGACUCCUGAAAGUUGGCCUCUGACUUCACAUGUGCCAUGACGGAAGAGCAGCAGCUGUCCAGGACUCUUCCAGUGCCACAUUGGGACUGCUGAGAUAUCCAACCUCGUGUAUUGAACAACUACCAGAAUCUUGGCCUUUCCAGCAUGAGCUAGUCAUUGUUGUUGGACUACCCACUUAGACUGCAUCCUCUGCUCGUUCGGAUUGUCAGAUUGCUGGAUUCGAUCUCUGUCCACCGUUCAAGAAGAAAAUUCUGAUUUAGUUCUCCCAUACUGAUUUCCAUAGUGGCUUCUCCAGUUUGCAAUCCCAACAGCAGAUGAGGGGUCUCCUGUCCCCUAAACCUGCGCUGCAUUUGUUGUCUGCUGUCGCCGUUCUCUUGUUCUUAGCUGUUCUGAGUGAGCACAGGUCUGGAUCACAGCAACACACGAAUAGAGACUCCUAAGGGAAAUUUCUCAGGAUACACAACCAACAGCUUUGGGCUUCAUUUUGCACUGACAGAGGUCUGUUUUAUCUGCAAUAUUCUAAUCAGUGGAAGAAAAAGUAGUUCGACUGAGCUGAACUGAAUACUGCCUUCCUGGCGUUUGAAACUGGAAGAGAUGACAGAGGAACUGAAACAGCUUCAGCCUGUGUUCUUGCAGCAUGGGCCCAGUAUAUCUCUUGUUCCAGGUGCAUUCCUGGUUCUACAGGUGCGUCUUCCCAGCCUUCCAAGGCUUUGUCUCACUUUCUGUCCUUUCGUCUGUCCAUGUCACUGCGACUUUAAAAUCUACGCCUCUCUGCCUCCUCCCUAUCCCAGGAACAACCCAGUGUCUCAGAACUCUUUAGCAUCUUUUUCUUUCUAGUACCUAUCAGGAGAUAGUUUUUCUAUGACUGAAAGGAAAUUUUUCUUGAACAAAAGCAAAACAAAAGAAAAAAUUCUUUAAGGCAAAUGGAGGGCUGGUGUUGUAAAUGAGUGAGCGGAAAGAAGGGCCUGAGGGUGGACUCACGAGGAGAACAAGGUUAAAUUAAAACUGGAGACUGGCCCAGUCAGGGAGGUGUCGCUAAGAUGAGCAGGUAUGUGGUUGAGAAAUGGGAGAGAGAGAGAAGCAGAGCGCUCGCACCCUGUGGAGAGCAGCAGGACUGAAGAUGCCCCAGCAAUGAGGAACAGGAUGAUAUGGGUGGCUGGUGCUCCCACCUGGGGCCAUAUGAUGUCCAGGCCUGGGUUGCUGCUGAGGACCGUGUCUGGAUCUGUGGCCCUACCACAGCUGGGGUCUGUGUGGACGUCCAUGACCCAUUACCACUGAAGAGCAUACAGAUACCUGUGGUCUGGGCCCACACCUGAGGCCAUGUUGAAGUCUGCGGGCCAGUCCGUCAGUGGGGAUAUACUAAUCUGAGUGCCCUGUACUGCCAUGGUGAUAGCCAGGCCCAAGCUGCAGCCAAGGUCCCUGCCGGGGUCCAUGGUGGUCGGUGUUGAUGUCCAUGGCACAUGUUGUCACCCAAAGCAGUGCAGUCUGGGUUGCUGCCUGAGGCCAUGUUGGUAUUCAAGGGACACACUGCCACUGGGUCCAUACCCAACUGUGCUGCCUCCCAGGGACAUGGUGACAUCUGGACCCAAGCUGCAGCUGAGGGCCAUGUCUGGGUUCAUGACAUGUGGUCUGGGUCAUGAACCAGACCAGAGACAUCACCCAGAGACUGUGGUGAUGUCUCUGGCCCACAUUAUUACCAGGGCCCAUGGGAAAGUAGCUCCUUCCCAGCAGCCUCAGCAAGAGAGCUCCCUGCCCCCAGAAUUGGCCCCAGUGACAUGGGCACCCGAUAGCUGACCCUGGGAAAAUCACUGACCUCUCACUGACAGAGGCAACAGGAGAGGGGGCCCUGCAUGAGAAAAAGCUGAUCUCAUCCCCCACCAUAGUGAGGGAGAGCUGGCCCUGACUCUCACCUCAGGCGGGCACUCCCAAUGCAGGCCUGGACUGAUCAACUCAGCUACCACCCCCACCCACCUCUAGGGCUUUGAGUUGACCCACUCCAACAUCUACUACCUACCUGCUAGAGCACAUGAAGAGUCUGGUCCUGCAAAGCAACAGCCACAAAACUUCUAUGAGUUGAGGCAACAGCAGAAUAUCCCAGAGGAAUUUUGAUGAGGGUCCAGGGCUGAUGGUGUACCAAAAGCCAGAGGUCUUGAUCCUGACCAACACAAAAUAAAGCUGUUUGGGCAGAAAUACUUCCUGGCACACCGCAGCUCUCAAGGCUGCUACAACAAAUGAAUAUGUGAUGGAGAAGCAUGAAAGACUGAGGAGUAAAGUGCUUUUUUUAAAAAAAAAAUCUUCUUUUAGUAAGGGAGGCUACAAGGGUGGAGGUCAGACAUGGAAGGCCUGGAAAGUGAGUGGCAUUGGCGUGCAUUACAUGUAAUUCCCAAAGAAUCAAUAAAAAUUAUGUUAAUAUAAAAUAUUAAAAAUGCAAAAGAAGUGUCAACAAA